AAAAUCCGUAAACCUAUCUAAAUUCCCUAUACUAACCACCUAAUAUAUCCUAAACUAACCAAAUUAGAGAGGAAUUAGAGAGGCUUACCAUUGCUACGAAAUGGAGAGGAAGUGGAGAGAAAGUAGAGAGGAAAGAAAGAGUGAGCGCUCGGGGGUAUAUAUAAGAUUACAUAUCGUCGCAAAUUCCUCGUAAGGUUACGACGAAAUAGCGAGCAGAUACAAAGGCCCGUGUUUUUUUGUACGAGGAAAUUGCAAGGAAUUACAAAGGCCCGUGUAUUUAUAUACGAGGUAUUAACGACGAUUUUGCUUACGUGGAAUUAACGAGCCUUGCUUUCCUAUAAAUAUACCCACAACUCUCAUUCUCAAACCACAUACAAACUCCCAAAUCACACCCUAUCUCAA
RNAcentral lists this long non-coding RNA (402 nucleotides) under Brassica napus (rape). RNAcentral's name for it is "long non-coding RNA (BNAP_LNC014631)". Lineage: Eukaryota; Viridiplantae; Streptophyta; Magnoliopsida; Brassicales; Brassicaceae. The record is from RNAcentral.